RNAcentral lists this long non-coding RNA (249 nucleotides) under Fragaria vesca (wild strawberry). RNAcentral's name for it is "long non-coding RNA (FVES_LNC000691)". The record is from RNAcentral. Lineage: Eukaryota; Viridiplantae; Streptophyta; Magnoliopsida; Rosales; Rosaceae.
CCGCCGCCUUAGGAGCGGGAGCCGCAUUUUCCGGAAUUUUGGUCUCCUGCGAAACCGGUGCCGGUGCCGGUAAUGAAGGAGAAGAAGAAGAAGAAGAAGAAGAAGGAGAAGAGGUGGCCUUGGCCUUGGCCUCGGCGAUCUCCUCUUGGGUCUCGGCCAGGAGAGCAAUAGCGGACCCCACUGGGGCAACGCCGCCUUCUUCGACCAUAAUAGAGGCCAAGUAACCGUCGUAGAAAGUCUCGACGUCCA